RNAcentral lists this ribosomal RNA (514 nucleotides) under Termitomyces sp. symbiont of Macrotermes bellicosus. RNAcentral describes it as "eukaryotic LSU rRNA". It matches the Rfam family "Eukaryotic large subunit ribosomal RNA", at positions 71 to 583 of the family's 3401-position model. Lineage: Eukaryota; Fungi; Basidiomycota; Agaricomycetes; Agaricales; Lyophyllaceae. The record is from RNAcentral.
AGGAUUCCCCUAGUAACUGCGAGUGAAGCGGGAAAAGCUCAAAUUUAAAAUCUGGUAGUCUUUGGCUGCCCGAGUUGUAAUCUAGAGAAGCAUUAUCCGCGUUGGACCGUGUACAAGUGUCCUGGAAUGGACCAUCAUAGAGGGUGAGAAUCCCGUCUUUGACACGGACUCCCAAGGCUUUGUGAUGUGCUCUCAAAGAGUCGAGUUGUUUGGGAAUGCAGCUCUAAAUGGGUGGUAAAUUCCAUCUAAAGCUAAAUAUUGGCGAGAGACCGAUAGCGAACAAGUACCGUGAGGGAAAGAUGAAAAGAACUUUGGAAAGAGAGUUAAACAGUACGUGAAAUUGCUGAAAGGGAAACGCUUGAAGUCAGUCGCGUUGGCUGGGGAUCAACCUUGCUUUUUUGCUUGGCUUACUUCCCAGUUGACGGGUCAGCAUCAGUUUUGACCGGUGGAUAAAGGUUAAGGGAAUGUGGCACCCUCGGGUGUGUUAUAGCCCUUGGUCAUAUACAUUGGUUGG